GAUGAACGCUGGCGGCGUGCCUAAUACAUGCAAGUCGAGCGAACAGACGAGGGGCUUGCUCCUCUGACGUUAGCGGCGGACGGGUGAGUAACACGUGGAUAACCUACCUAUAAGACUGGGAUAACUUCGGGAAACCGGAGCUAAUACCGGAUAAUAUAUUGAACCGCAUGGUUCAAUAGUGAAAGACGGUUUUGCUGUCACUUAUAGAUGGAUCCGCGCCGCAUUAGCUAGUUGGUAAGGUAACGGCUUACCAAGGCAACGAUGCGUAGCCGACCUGAGAGGGUGAUCGGCCACACUGGAACUGAGACACGGUCCAGACUCCUACGGGAGGCAGCAGUAGGGAAUCUUCCGCAAUGGGCUAAAGCCUGACGGAGCAACGCCGCGUGAGUGAUGAAGUUCCUCGGAUCGUAAAACUCUGUUAUUAGUGAAGAACAAUUGUGUAAGUAACUAUGCACGUCUUGACGGUACCUAAUCAGAAAGCCACGGCUAACUACGUG
RNAcentral lists this ribosomal RNA (497 nucleotides) under uncultured bacterium. Its description in RNAcentral is "partial 16S ribosomal RNA". It matches the Rfam family "Bacterial small subunit ribosomal RNA", at positions 28 to 507 of the family's 1533-position model. The record is from RNAcentral.